RNAcentral lists this ribosomal RNA (497 nucleotides) under uncultured bacterium. RNAcentral describes it as "partial 16S ribosomal RNA". It matches the Rfam family "Bacterial small subunit ribosomal RNA", at positions 28 to 507 of the family's 1533-position model. The record is from RNAcentral.
GAUGAACGCUGGCGGCGUGCCUAAUACAUGCAAGUCGAGCGAACAGACGAGGAGCUUGCUCCUCUGACGUUAGCGGCGGACGGGUGAGUAACACGUGGAUACCCUACCUAUAAGACUGGGAUAACUUCGGGAAACCGGAGCUAAUACCGGAUAAUAUAUUGAACCGCAUGGUUCAAUAGUGAAAGACGGUUUUGCUGUCACUUAUAGAUGGAUCCGCGCCGCAUUAGCUAGUUGGUAAGGUAACGGCUUACCAAGGCAACGAUGCGUAGCCGACCUGAGAGGGUGAUCGGCCACACUGGAACUGAGACACGGUCCAGACUCCUACGGGAGGCAGCAGUAGGGAAUCUUCCGCAAUGGGCGAAAGCCUGACGGAGCAACGCCGCGUGAGUGAUGAAGGUCUUCGGAUCGUAAAACUAUGUUAUUAGGGAAGAACAAAUGUGUAAGUAACUAUGCACGUCUUGACGGUACCUAAUCAGAAAGCCACGGCUAACUACGUG